GAUGAAGAACGCAGCGAAAUGCGAUAAGUAAUGUGAAUUGCAGAAUUCAGUGAAUCAUCGAAUCUUUGAACGCACAUUGCGCCCCCCAGUAUUCUGGCGGGCAUGCCUGUUCGAGCGUCAUUUCAACCAUCAAGCCCUGCUUGUGUUGGGGUCCUGCGGCUGCCCGCAGGCCCUGAAAACCAGUGGCGGGCUCGCUAGUCACACCGAGCGCAGUAGCACAUCUCGCUCAGGGCGUGCGGCGGGCUCCAGCCGUUAAAGCACCCACCUUUCGCAAGGUUGACCUCGGAUCAGGUAGGAAUACCCGCUGAACUUAAGCAUAUCAACAAGCGGAGGA
This 334-nucleotide unclassified non-coding RNA is filed under the name soil metagenome. RNAcentral's name for it is "partial contains 5.8S ribosomal RNA, internal transcribed spacer 2, and large subunit ribosomal RNA". The stretch from base 1 to 120 matches the Rfam family "5.8S ribosomal RNA", at positions 35 to 154 of the family's 154-position model. The record is from RNAcentral.